RNAcentral lists this ribosomal RNA (401 nucleotides) under uncultured Alphaproteobacteria bacterium. RNAcentral describes it as "bacterial SSU rRNA". It matches the Rfam family "Bacterial small subunit ribosomal RNA", at positions 505 to 905 of the family's 1533-position model. The record is from RNAcentral. Lineage: Bacteria; Pseudomonadati; Pseudomonadota; Alphaproteobacteria.
GUGCCAGCAGCCGCGGUAAUACGAAGGGAGCUAGCGUUGUUCGGAUUUACUGGGCGUAAAGGGCGCGUAGGCGGUUUGGCAAGUUGGAUGUGAAAGCCCUGGGCUCAACCCGGGAAUUGCAUUCAAAACUGCCUUACUUGAAUUCGGUAGAGGUUGGUAGAAUUCCCAGUGUAGAGGUGAAAUUCGUAGAGAUUGGGAAGAAUACCCGUGGCGAAGGCGGCCAACUGGACCGACAUUGACGCUGAGGCGCGAAAGCGUGGGUAGCAAACAGGAUUAGAUACCCCGGUAGUCCACGCCGUAAACGAUGCAUGCUAGACGUUAAAGCCGUCAGGUUUUAGUGUCGCAGCUAACGCACUAAGCAUGCCGCCUGGGGAGUACGGCCCGCAGGGUUGAAACUCAAA